Parus major (Great Tit) is the source of this 1675-nucleotide long non-coding RNA. The record is from Ensembl. NCBI's taxonomy places the organism in Eukaryota, Metazoa, Chordata, Aves, Passeriformes, Paridae.
UGCUCCUGUCCCUGUAUCCCUGUCCUGUCCCCGGUGCUCCUGUCCCUGUAUCCCUCUCUUGUCCCUGGUGCUCCUGUCCCUGUAACCCUGUCCUGUCCCUGGUGCUCCUGUCCCUGUAUCUGUCCUGUCCCUGCUGCCCCUGUCCCUGUAUCCCUGUCCUGUCCCUGGUGCUCCUGUCCCUGUAUCUGUCCUGUCCCCGGUGCUCCUGUCCCUGUAACCCUGUCCUGUCCCCGGUGCUCCUGUCCCUGUAUCCCUGUCCUGUCCUUGGUGCCCCUGUCCCUCUAUCCCUCUCUUGUCCCUGGUGCUUCUGUCCCUGUAUCCCUGUCCUGUCCUUGGUGCUCCUGUCCCUGUAUCCCUCUCUUGUCCCUGGUGCUCCUGUCCCUGUAUCCCUGUUCUGUCCCUGCUGCCCCUGUCCCUGUCCUGGUGUCCCCGUCCUGUCCCUGUCCUGGUGUCCCCGUCCUAUCCCUGUCCCGGUGUCCCCGUCCUGGUGUCCCUGUCCUGUCCCUGUCCCGGUGUCCCCGUCCUGUCCCCGUGGGCAGUUCGGUUCGUGUGAGCAGCUCCUCUGUGUCCCCUCCCUGCCCUGUGGGCUCUGAACACGGCAGCACAAACAAAACUUCCGAGUUUGUUCCAAGUGUUUGUUUAAGUCUCCCAUCCCAAAUAAAUUCACCUUGUUGAAUGAAACCAGAGCGAAGGUGUUUUAAUUUUAACCCACCAGAAGCUACACGGAGGUGUAAAGUGUUGUGUAAAGGGAUGGAGCAGCUGGAAUAGCUUGGUGCACCAGGGUGGUGUCCUCUGGUCUCAGCAAAGAGAUUUGGGGAAGAAUAUUAAAAAUUAUCCUUUUUACUUGCCAGUGCCAGUGUUUGUGGUCUCAUCUCUCACUGCAGGCAGCAGUAUGGAAUAUAUCAGUUGUGUGCUUGGGAUAAGUCAACAAUGAAGAGCAAAAACUCUUUUUUUUUGGUGUUAAUUUUGUUCAGCUACAAGAGCUUUAUCACAGGAUGGACAUUUCAGCCACCAAAAGAAUAACAAUUUUGUUGUUAUUUAGCAAAAUAUUUUCCUUACUGAUCUGUGCUUUCACUGCUCACUUCCUACAGUGCCUGAACUUUCCAUCAAGUUUAAUGUUAAAUGUAUUUAUUAUUCUAAGUAAAAAGGUGUUUUCUGCCAGCAACACCCUUUGUGCUGCUCAGAGAUCAGCUCUCACUGUCCUGUGCCCACCUCCCUGUUUCCUGGUCACUCUUUGUGUCCCAGUGAGCUAAAUUCAAAUUCUCAGUGCCCUGAAUUUGGGGCAAGCAAUCAGAAAGCAAUUUUAUGGAAUGUUUCCCUUAAGCUCUUGGGGAAAGAGUGAGGUCUGAGCUGAACUGAAAUCCUGAGAGGGGCAAAACGUGAAGUGUGGGAGCUUUGGCCACCUUAAAUAUUGGGGAAGUGGCUGCUGACUGGAACGGUGCUGUGGCCACGAGGCUGCUGCUGCCUCCUGAGCUCUGCAGGAGUGUUUGGAGCCUCCUGGCACGCCGUGAAUCCCUGCUGGUGGUCAUUUCAGAGCUAAAUCCCCUCUGAGGGACAUCUCAGAGCUGGAUCCCCUCUGAGGGACAUUUUGGGGCUGGAUCCCCUCUGAGGGACAUUUUGGGGCUGGAUCCCCUCUGAGGGACAUUUCAGAGCUGAAUCCCCUCUGAGGGACAUU